AUUGAACGCUGGCGGCAGGCUUAACACAUGCAAGUCGAGCGGUAACAGAGAGAAGCUUGCUUCUCUGCUGACGAGCGGCGGACGGGUGAGUAAUGCCUAGGAAUCUGCCUAGUAGUGGGGGAUAACUUGCCGAAAGGUAAGCUAAUACCGCAUACGUCCUACGGGAGAAAGGAGGGGACCUUCGGGCCUUUCGCUAUUAGAUGAGCCUAGGUCGGAUUAGUUAGUUGGUGAGGUAAUGGCUCACCAAGACCGCGAUCCGUAACUGGUCUGAGAGGAUGAUCAGUCACACUGGAACUGAGACACGGUCCAGACUCCUACGGGAGGCAGCAGUGGGGAAUAUUGGACAAUGGGGGGAACCCUGAUCCAGCCAAGCCGCGUGUGUGAAGAAGGUCUUAGGAUUGUAAAGCACUUUAAGUUGGGAGGAAGAGCAGUUAACUAAUAUUUGACUGUUUUGACGUUACUGACAGAAUAAGCACCGGCUAACUUCGUGCCAGCAGCCGCAGUAA
This 506-nucleotide ribosomal RNA is filed under the name uncultured bacterium. RNAcentral describes it as "partial 16S ribosomal RNA". It matches the Rfam family "Bacterial small subunit ribosomal RNA", at positions 30 to 523 of the family's 1533-position model. The record is from RNAcentral.